RNAcentral lists this ribosomal RNA (808 nucleotides) under Corynascus similis. Its description in RNAcentral is "LSU rRNA". It matches the Rfam family "Eukaryotic large subunit ribosomal RNA", at positions 77 to 918 of the family's 3401-position model. Lineage: Eukaryota; Fungi; Ascomycota; Sordariomycetes; Sordariales; Chaetomiaceae. The record is from RNAcentral.
GCCCUAGUAACGGCGAGUGAAGCGGCAACAGCUCAAAUUUGAAAUCUGGCUUCGGCCCGAGUUGUAAUUUGCAGAGGAAGCUUUAGGCGCGGCACCUUCUGAGUCCCCUGGAACGGGGCGCCAUAGAGGGUGAGAGCCCCGUAUAGUUGGAUGCCUAGCCUGUGUAAAGCUCCUUCGACGAGUCGAGUAGUUUGGGAAUGCUGCUCAAAAUGGGAGGUAAAUUUCUUCUAAAGCUAAAUACCGGCCAGAGACCGAUAGCGCACAAGUAGAGUGAUCGAAAGAUGAAAAGCACUUUGAAAAGAGGGUUAAAUAGCACGUGAAAUUGUUGAAAGGGAAGCGCUUGUGACCAGACUUGCGCCGGGCUGAUCAUCCGGUGUUCUCACCGGUGCACUCUGCCCGGCUCAGGCCAGCAUCGGUUCUCGCGGGGGGAUAAAGGCCCUGGGAAUGUAGCUCCUCCGGGAGUGUUAUAGCCCGGGGUGUAAUGCCCUCGCGGGGACCGAGGUUCGCGCAUCUGCAAGGAUGCUGGCGUAAUGGUCAUCAGCGACCCGUCUUGAAACACGGACCAAGGAGUCAAGGUUUUGCGCGAGUGUUUGGGUGUAAAACCCGCACGCGUAAUGAAAGUGAACGUAGGUGAGAGCUUCGGCGCAUCAUCGACCGAUCCUGAUGUAUUCGGAUGGAUUUGAGUAGGAGCGUUAAGCCUUGGACCCGAAAGAUGGUGAACUAUGCUUGGAUAGGGUGAAGCCAGAGGAAACUCUGGUGGAGGCUCGCAGCGGUUCUGACGUGCAAAUCGAUCGUCAAAUCUGAGCAU